AGCGUUACUCGUCGUGAUUGGGUGUAAAAACGGCUAGGUAGUUUAUUAGGUUUUUUUUUAAAAAAGCUGAUUUGAUGGUUUUUAGAGGAAAUUGAUAAUACUUGGAGUACACGGACGUAUACGAAAUUAUAAUUGGAGCAGUAAAAUGCUUAGAUAAUUAUGGAAUCUCCUGUAGCGAUGCGGUAAGCGACGUGUACUUGACACUUAACCGUUAAAGUACGAGUAUCGAAUAGGAUUUGAGACCCUAGUAGUUCGUACCCUGAAUUAUGAAUGUCUAUUUGUCAAGUUGAUUAACGUUUGAACAUUCUGCCUGAAGAUUAAAGCCGCAAGGGUAAAAUUUAAAAAGAUUGGCGGGAGUUUAUAUAAAUGGUGGAACAUGUGGUUUAAUUUGAUAAUCCGCGUGAAACCUUACCAGUGUAAUUCGCUUUAAGACUUAGUAAAUUGCUGCUCUUUUUUAACGAUAGUCUCCGUUUAGGUACUGCAUGGCUGUCGUCAGUUUGUUAUGUGAGUUUAACUCGAACACAAUCUUUUAAAACUACCGAUUAGGUUAUACGUUUAGGAUACUUAAGCAAUUAAGCCUAGUUGCGUUUAUUUAAAAUAUGUAGUUGUUUCGCUAAAUUAUUUUGUUUCUUUAAAUUAUUUUGUUGGCUUUUGUAUCGGUUAUAAUUAUAAAAGUUGACGGUUUACUUUAUUUGAAAUUUAAUUUGGUGAAUUAAGAGGGGAAGUCAAGUCAUUAUGGUCUUGAUAUGCUGGGCAACACACGUGUUACAGAGGUAAAAACAAUGAGUAUUAUUGAAAAAUAAUUUAUCUUUAAAAAUUACCGGGGUUCGGAUUAUUCACUGAAAUUGGUGAGUAUGAAGUAGAAAUCAUUAGUAAUCGUAAAUAAGCUCGUUACGAUGAAUUUUUUUAAACUUUGCACACACCGCCCAUCAUAUUCGGAGAGUCUCCUUGGUUUGAAGAUAGGACAACCUAUUGAAUUAAUAUAAUUAUUUAGUUUUGGUUUAUGUCGAAAAACAGAGAGGUAAUUGGGAUGAAGUU
Molecule: ribosomal RNA, 1038 nt
Filed under: Euplotes focardii
Lineage: Eukaryota; Ciliophora; Spirotrichea; Euplotida; Euplotidae
Description: SSU rRNA
Rfam family: Bacterial small subunit ribosomal RNA
Source: RNAcentral